Molecule: non-coding RNA, 45 nt
Filed under: Trichobilharzia regenti
Lineage: Eukaryota; Metazoa; Platyhelminthes; Trematoda; Strigeidida; Schistosomatidae
Source: RNAcentral
AUCCAGCUGGCGUGUCCCAAAUAGGACGAAAUGCGCAUCCUGGAU